AUAUUUACCUGGCAGGGGAGAUACCAUGAUUAUGAAGGCGGUUUUCCCAGGACAAGGCUUACCCAUUGCACUCUGGAUGUACUGACCCCUGUGAUUUUCCCAAAUAUGGGAAACUCGACUGCAUAAUUUGUGGUAGUGGAGGACUAUGUUUGCACUCUCCCCUG
This is a small nuclear RNA of Nycticebus coucang (slow loris), 164 nucleotides long. RefSeq annotates it as U1 spliceosomal RNA. Lineage: Eukaryota; Metazoa; Chordata; Mammalia; Primates; Lorisidae. The record is from RefSeq and is a predicted model, not a curated record. The transcript has a single exon.